RNAcentral lists this ribosomal RNA (635 nucleotides) under Vibrio azureus. RNAcentral's name for it is "bacterial SSU rRNA". It matches the Rfam family "Bacterial small subunit ribosomal RNA", at positions 56 to 672 of the family's 1533-position model. Lineage: Bacteria; Pseudomonadati; Pseudomonadota; Gammaproteobacteria; Vibrionales; Vibrionaceae. The record is from RNAcentral.
UGCAGUCGAGCGGAACGAGUUAUCAGAACCUUCGGGGGACGAUAACGGCGUCGAGCGGCGGACGGGUGAGUAAUGCCUAGGAAAUUGCCCUGAUGUGGGGGAUAACCAUUGGAAACGAUGGCUAAUACCGCAUGAUGCCUACGGGCCAAAGAGGGGGACCUUCGGGCCUCUCGCGUCAGGAUAUGCCUAGGUGGGAUUAGCUAGUUGGUGAGGUAAGGGCUCACCAAGGCGACGAUCCCUAGCUGGUCUGAGAGGAUGAUCAGCCACACUGGAACUGAGACACGGUCCAGACUCCUACGGGAGGCAGCAGUGGGGAAUAUUGCACAAUGGGCGCAAGCCUGAUGCAGCCAUGCCGCGUGUGUGAAGAAGGCCUUCGGGUUGUAAAGCACUUUCAGUCGUGAGGAAGGUAGUGUAGUUAAUAGCUGCAUUAUUUGACGUUAGCGACAGAAGAAGCACCGGCUAACUCCGUGCCAGCAGCCGCGGUAAUACGGAGGGUGCGAGCGUUAAUCGGAAUUACUGGGCGUAAAGCGCAUGCAGGUGGUUUGUUAAGUCAGAUGUGAAAGCCCGGGGCUCAACCUCGGAAUUGCAUUUGAAACUGGCAGACUAGAGUACUGUAGAGGGGGGUAGAAUUUCAG